AAACUUUCAACAACGGAUCUCUUGGUUCUGGCAUCGAUGAAGAACGCAGCGAAAUGCGAUAAGUAAUGUGAAUUGCAGAAUUCAGUGAAUCAUCGAAUCUUUGAACGCACAUUGCGCCCGGCAGCAAUCUGUCGGGCAUGCCUGUCCGAGCGUCAUUU
This 158-nucleotide ribosomal RNA is filed under the name Scopulariopsis brumptii. Its description in RNAcentral is "5.8S ribosomal RNA". It matches the Rfam family "5.8S ribosomal RNA". From Rfam's summary of the family: 5.8S ribosomal RNA (5.8S rRNA) is a component of the large subunit of the eukaryotic ribosome. Lineage: Eukaryota; Fungi; Ascomycota; Sordariomycetes; Microascales; Microascaceae. The record is from RNAcentral.